Molecule: ribosomal RNA, 2914 nt
Filed under: Chromatiaceae bacterium
Lineage: Bacteria; Pseudomonadati; Pseudomonadota; Gammaproteobacteria; Chromatiales; Chromatiaceae
Description: 23S ribosomal RNA
Rfam family: Bacterial large subunit ribosomal RNA
Source: RNAcentral
GUUAUAUGGUCAAGUGAAUAAGCGCAUAUGGUGGAUGCCUAGGCGGUAAGAGGCGAUGAAGGACGUAGUAGCUUGCGAUAAGCCUCGGGGAGUCGGCAAACUGACUUUGAUCCGAGGAUUUCCGAAUGGGGAAACCCACUCAGCAUAAGCUGGGUAUCGUUAAUUGAAUACAUAGGUUAACGAGGCAAACCCGGGGAACUGAAACAUCUAAGUACCCGGAGGAAAAGAAAUCAACCGAGAUUCCCUGAGUAGCGGCGAGCGAAAGGGGACCAGCCCUUAAGCUGUUGAUGAGUUAGUGGAACAGUCUGGAAAGUCUGGCGAUACUGGGUGACAGCCCCGUACACGAAAAUGACUCAGCAGUGAAAUCGAGUAAGGCGGAGCACGUGGAACUCUGUCUGAACAUGGGGGGACCAUCCUCCAAGGCUAAAUACUCCUUACCGACCGAUAGUGAACCAGUACCGUGAGGGAAAGGCGAAAAGAACCCCUUUUAGGGGAGUGAAAUAGAACCUGAAACCGUAUGCGUACAAGCAGUGGGAGCCCCUUCGGGGGUGACUGCGUACCUUUUGUAUAAUGGGUCAGCGACUUACUUCUCAGUAGCAAGCUUAACCGAAUAGGGGAGGCGUAGGGAAACCGAGUCUUAACAGGGCGAUUGAGUUGCUGGGAGUAGACCCGAAACCGGGCGAUCUAUCCAUGGCCAGGGUGAAGGUGGAGUAACAUCUACUGGAGGCCCGAACCCACUUAUGUUGAAAAAUGAGGGGAUGAGCUGUGGCUAGGAGUGAAAGGCUAAUCAAGCCCGGAGAUAGCUGGUUCUCCUCGAAAGCUAUUUAGGUAGCGCCUCAUGUAUCACCACCGGGGGUAGAGCACUGUUACGGCUAGGGGGUCAUCCCGACUUACCAACCCGUUGCAAACUCCGAAUACCGGUGAGUGCAAUCAUGGGAGACAGACGGCGGGUGCUAACGUCCGUCGUCAAAAGGGAAACAACCCAGACCGCCAGCUAAGGUCCCAAAAUCACAUCUCAGUGGGAAACGAUGUGGGAAGGCAUAGACAGCUAGGAGGUUGGCUUAGAAGCAGCCAUCCUUUAAAGAAAGCGUAAUAGCUCACUAGUCGAGUCGGCCUGCGCGGAAGAUUUAACGGGGCUUAAGAUGUGUACCGAAGCUGCGGAUGCAGACUUGUUCUGCAUGGUAGAGGAGCGUUCUGUAAGCGGUUGAAGGUGUGCUGUAAGGCAUGCUGGACGUAUCAGAAGUGCGAAUGCUGACAUGAGUAACGAUAAAGGGGGUGAGAGGCCCCCUCGCCGAAAGCCCAAGGUUUCCUGCGCAACGCUAAUCGGCGCAGGGUUAGUCGGCCCCUAAGACGAGGCAGAGAUGCGUAGUCGAUGGGAAGCAGGUCAAUAUUCCUGCACCUCUUGUUACUGCGAUGGAGGGACGGAGAAGGCUAGGUCAUCCGGGCGUUGGUUGUCCCGGUUUAAGCGAGUAGGGAGUGUUCUUAGGUAAAUCCGGGGACACAAUUCUGAGACGUGAUGACGAAGCACCCUUUGGGUGUGAAGUGAUUGAUGCCAUGCUUCCAGGAAAAGCUUCUAAGCUUCAGGUAACAAGAGACCGUACCCCAAACCGACACAGGUGGGCAGGGUGAGAAUCCCAAGGCGCUUGAGAGAACUCUGGUGAAGGAACUAGGCAAAAUAGUACCGUAACUUCGGGAGAAGGUACGCCUCCUAGGUGAAACAUUUACAUGUCGAGCUAUAGGAGGUCGCAGUGACCAGGUGGCUGCAACUGUUUACUAAAAACAUAGCACUCUGCAAACACGAAAGUGGACGUAUAGGGUGUGACGCCUGCCCGGUGCCGGAAGGUUAAUUGAUGGGGUUAUCUUCGGAGAAGCUCUUGAUCGAAGCCCCGGUAAACGGCGGCCGUAACUAUAACGGUCCUAAGGUAGCGAAAUUCCUUGUCGGGUAAGUUCCGACCUGCACGAAUGGCGUAAUGAUGGCCACGCUGUCUCCACCAGAGACUCAGUGAAAUUGAAAUUGCGGUUAAGAUGCCGCAUACCCGCGGCUAGACGGAAAGACCCCGUGAACCUUUACUACAGCUUCACACUGGACUUUGAACCUACUUGUGUAGGAUAGGUGGGAGGCUUUGAAGCUGGGACGUCAGUCCUGGUGGAGCCACCCUUGAAAUACCACCCUGGUAUGUUUGAAGUUCUAACCUAGGCCCGUUAUCCGGGUCAGGGACAGUGUGUGGUGGGUAGUUUGACUGGGGCGGUCUCCUCCCAAAACGUAACGGAGGAGCACGAAGGUACCCUCAGCGCGGUCGGAAAUCGCGCAAUGAGUGCAAAGGCAUAAGGGUGCUUGACUGCGAGACAGACAAGUCGAGCAGGUACGAAAGUAGGUCUUAGUGAUCCGGUGGCUCUGUAUGGAAGGGCCAUCGCUCAACGGAUAAAAGGUACUCCGGGGAUAACAGGCUGAUGGUGCCCAAGAGUUCAUAUCGACGGCACCGUUUGGCACCUCGAUGUCGGCUCAUCACAUCCUGGGGCUGAAGUCGGUCCCAAGGGUAUGGCUGUUCGCCAUUUAAAGUGGUACGCGAGCUGGGUUUAGAACGUCGUGAGACAGUUCGGUCCCUAUCUGCCGUGGGCGUUUGAGAUUUGAGGGAAGCUGCUCCUAGUACGAGAGGACCGGAGUGGACGAACCUCUGGUGUUCCGGUUGUCACGCCAGUGGCACUGCCGGGUAGCUACGUUCGGACAGGAUAACCGCUGAAAGCAUCUAAGCGGGAAGCCCCUCCCAAGAUAAGAUCUCACUGGACCUUUAAGGUCCCUGAAGGGCCGUUGAAGACUACAACGUUGAUAGGCUGGGUGUGGAAGUUCAGUAAUGGAUGAAGCUAACCAGUACUAAUUGCCCGUGAGGCUUGACCAUAUAACACCCAAACACUU